Molecule: long non-coding RNA, 377 nt
Filed under: Bos taurus (domestic cattle)
Lineage: Eukaryota; Metazoa; Chordata; Mammalia; Artiodactyla; Bovidae
Description: long non-coding RNA NONBTAT005513
Source: RNAcentral
AGAGGACACCACAAGGCCCUGAAGAUGACUGCAUCAGACAUGGAAAUCGGCUCCGAAAUGCUCUAGAUAGCCAAGGAACUGUAACUAAGCAUAUAAUUUAAGUAAUCUGAGCAACAACAAAACAGGCAGAUCUGCAGUGAGACACCUCCUGGACAUGAUUUGGGUGAGAACAAUUCAUGUAGUGGGUCUUUGCAAAAAGGUGGUCAGACAAACACAUAAACAGUGUCUGAUGGGUGAUCUUAGUGACCAAAGCCUUAUGAAGACAUCUCUCUGGUGAUUCCACACAACACGGGGACAGCUUGGAGAAUCCGGACGAGUGGGUACAUUUAAUGUAUCAGGUCCUCAGUUCCAGGACCCCUCUCCAAACCAUCCAGAGG